AUAACUAACUUUUAACACAAAAAACUAUCAUUCGUUUUCAGUUACAAAAAAUAAUAAUUUAUUAUCCACUUUGUCAUGAGUGUUAUCAUGGUUCAUAUUGGUGUCUCAAAGAAAAUCAUGGUUCAUAUUGAAUCAAUAAAAAUAUAAUUAUUAGCUUCGAAUUCGUACUUGUUGUAUGUUUUGUAUUUUUUUCUUUCUGAAAUGGAACCUCAUCGCUCUAUUAGUGUGUGAGUUUAUAUUAGGCAAUACUAAUUCCAAAUCGAGAUGAAAGUAUUGUUAAUAAGAUAAAAUUAUAAAAAUAAAGAAGACAACAGUUAAACUAUUUUAAGUGAAUAAUAUAGAAAGUAUAAAAUAAAAUACUUUGCAAAAGAUCAAAGUAUUUAAAAUUUUUUGUUUUUGGCAGACCAGCUUCGUUUAAUGCGCCGGAGCUUUGCCUAUGGACAACAAACCGCUCCUUCACUUCUAACGGCUAUAUUUGUGGGGUCCUGAGACAUGGAUCACUAGAUCUGCUAAGCAAAUUAACAAACACGUUUACUUGUGGUUAAUAAUGAAAUUAUACUCCAAAGUGAAAAGUAAUAAUGUAAUUUAUAUAAUUUGAAAUUAGAAAGGCAAAACUUUAUUUAAUAGAAAAAGAAGAGAAGGGUUGUGCCGUACGAGGUUAAUGAAUAUGUAUGUUGACGUUGAUCUAUCUUUACUUUUUCUUUUUUUUUUGAUCAACAGAUCUAUCUUUACUUCUCUCCUCUUUAAGACAGUUGUUGAGUGGUUCACGUGUAACCCGUUAGAUAUGUAGGCUUUCCACUUUUGAACUUAAAUUUUAAAUGUUCUUCGUGUAUUUGACUACAAACAUUUCGUUUUUUCAGAGAAUGUCAAGAGUAGACUAUGAUCAAUGACAUAUCAUUCUUAUGGGUAGAACAGUAAGGUUGCAAGAAAUAAUCUUUACCUUAAACUCAACAUAAUAUGCCACCAGUAGAGAUGUUAAAAUGGAUUCAACUUAACAUAAUUAAUUUUUUUAAACCCUAAUACUGAGUUUUGGUACCAUGGACCACACAUGGAUCAUAUAUAAUUAAAUACCUGGACUUAACAAAGUUAAGUUUUUUUCUUCACUAAACAAGGUUAAUAUACUAAGAUUUUUUUGUCAACACAACAUUUUGUAAUCAUGAUUUCCUUUUAAUUUGGCCCACCAAUCAUUUUAAAAAUAUUUUAGGGCCUGAUCCAUAAAAGUUGCGCUGGCCCAAUACCUUCAGGUCACGGGUUCGAGCUGUCCUUCUGCUUUUCUUUUCCUUGAUCAACAGUACUAUUAUUUUAAAAUACAUGACACUCUAAUGAUGUUUUUCAUGUACAUGACACUCUAAUGAUGAUUUUCAAACACUUGUCUCUUGAUGUUUUUGUUGUUACUUAUUGGUAAGUACUAGAAAACAAAAUAACUAGACUUUUUAUUUUUCUUGUUGGAUGUCAAUUUUAUUUCAAGAUAAGUCAUGGUCAAGAAAAUUUAACUUGAUUUGAUCAAAGUAUUAGAGUAGACUAUAUGUAUUUUGAACAUAACUUCUACAGAAAAUUUUAAUAACAUUUGAAUAAAGACUCGUCUUCCAAAAUUUAUUUCAACCUCCACAAUAAAUAGUCACUACCUUAUUUAAAAAAGAGUUAUUAACAUAAAUAGACACAUUAUGUCUUUUUAUUACAUAGGAGAGCACAAUGUGCUACUAAAGUACUUUCUAGUGGUUGAAUACAUGUUUGUCCUCCAUAAAGCAAACUAAGUGUGAGUAUUUGGGUAAUUAGACAUUUUCAUUCUAGUUGGGCUGGUUAGGGAAUUUAAAUUUUAAAUUUUUUAGGUUUCAGGUAGUGGACGUGAAACAGAUGUAAAAUUGAGUUUUUAGUUUUGCACAAACCUGUGAAAAAAAAAUAAAACGCCGUGGGAGAAGACAGAGACCGCAAUUUCCGACGGAGCGACGAAUGAGAUUUUUCAUGGACAGAGAAGAUGAUGUCAUCGCGAAAUAGGAGAGUUUCAAAGGGCAAAGCGAAAGAGAUAGCGGAACCACAUGAAGGAGCAGUCACGGUUGUUUGCGACAGACAUAUACCCAAGCAAAAGGCACAAUUGUAAUUCAUUGUUGGAGUAUCUUCUUAUGGUAAGGGGUGUGCUUGAAAGGACAUAAGAGAUGGAGAAGCUUCUGGGCUUGUGCUUUGUCAACCUAGUUAGGCUAAAAACAAAAAGUGUAGUUGCGUACAUGCGUACAAAAUGAGAUAAGCUUCUGGACUCAUUUUAUGUCCUAUCUUUGAACGGUUUAUGUGUACAUGUGUACAAAGAGAGGUAGUUGUAGUCAUGGACAUUAAAGAAAAAUUGUAUACAAGUAGGGGCUGAUGAUUGUGGAAAUUGAAUCAGUCUAUGUAUAUGUAUAUUUUAAGUUGGGGUUUUGAAUUUUAUGCUUUUGUAAUGUGAAACUUGAUGGAAGUGUGCCCCGGUGUUGUCUACAUGCGUACAAUAAAGCGUAGUUGUACACAUGGACAAGAGACAGUUUGACAUAAUUUAAAACAGUCAUGACAUAAUUUGUGGAUGGGAGAACGGAUUGCUAAAGCUGUAAAAUUUGAAGUUGUGAUGACAUAAUUUAUGAUCAUAUCCGAUUGAGGGGGGGGGGGGGGGGGGGUUUAUACAUAUAGAAAUGGGUAAAUAAAUGUACAUGUGUACGAGUUGCAUUCGAACAGCUUGUAAGCGACAUGGUAGAUGAGUGUCAACCCUGUCUAAACAAGCAAGUAAGCGACAUGUGUGUAUUUUUUAAGUUGGGGUUUUGAAUUUAUGCGGUUUCUGUAAUGUGAAAUUUGAUGGAAGUGUGCCUCGGUGGCGUGUACAUGCAUGCAAUAAAGGGUAGUUGUACGCAUGGUCAAGAGACAGUUUGGUACAUAUUAUUUACAAAUUUGACUUAAUUUAAAACAGUCAUGACAUAAUUUGUGGACGGGAGAAGAAAUCGCUAAAGCUGUAAAAUUUGAAGUUGUGAUAACAUAAUUUAUGAGGAUAUUGUAUUUUUUUGGGGUGGGGGUGGGGUUGUACAUAUUGCAUAGUAAAGUAUUCACAUGUACACAUAAUUUCCAUUAAGUGCAUAUUAUUAACUAUCCACAUAUACAUUGUUUCGAGGAACAACAUUGGUUUAUAAUGUACACUAGCUAUCAACAAAUGUUCACAUGUACACAAAUGUGAAGGUGGUUGUGUACGGGGGUAUAUAGGUAUGUCCAAAAAGAAGAAGGAUGGAGGUGAGUGAAUGCGCAAUCGUAGAAGAAGGUCUGGUGUAUAUAUGAUUCACUACAGUCAGAUUGUUCGAGGAUGAUGUUUUGAUUUGGAUAGAACAUAUGUGUAUUUUUGUUUUGUGUAUACAAAUUGUAGCUUGUAGCUUGGCAUUGUUGUACACGUGGACAGCUCGUAGCUCCAUGAUGUACAGUUGACAUAGUUGUACACGUGGACAACUUGUAGCUUAGUGUGAUUCUGAAAAUCUAACUCCGUAGAAAACUGUAAGAACUGUGAUUGUGUAAUUUUGUUACCAAUUUUCCACAUCUCAUAGAACUAGGCAGUAGAAACAUGGUUAAUAUAAUGUAGUUGAUGGGAAGAGCGUACAUGUGUACGGUUGAGGCAGUGUACGGGGUGUAUAGGUAGAUGAGGUUUCUAAACCAGCGUAACCAAGUUAGACAAAAUGUCCAGAAUAGAAAUCCGCGACUUGAUUAAAGUUUGUGGGCUAAAAGUAAAGUCAAUACAUAUUAAAGAAAUUUAUUCCAUUCGCCAACGAUAACCAUACAGUGAGCCGUCCGCCAUGGAAGAUACCUACAAGAAAUGAAAGGGUUUUUGUUCAAAGAGUUAAAAACUUGGAGUUACAGUAAACGACAUUAACAAAACAUG
Long non-coding RNA from Brassica rapa (field mustard), 3877 nucleotides. RefSeq lists it as uncharacterized. Lineage: Eukaryota; Viridiplantae; Streptophyta; Magnoliopsida; Brassicales; Brassicaceae. The record is from RefSeq and is a predicted model, not a curated record.